GCGGAUGUAGCUCAGUUGGUUAGAGCGUCGGUUUGUGGUACCGAAUGUCGCCGGUUCGAAUCCGGUCAUCCGCCCCA
RNAcentral lists this transfer RNA (77 nucleotides) under Alphaproteobacteria bacterium. RNAcentral's name for it is "tRNA-His". It matches the Rfam family "tRNA". Rfam says of the family: Transfer RNA (tRNA) molecules are approximately 80 nucleotides in length. Their secondary structure includes four short double-helical elements and three loops (D, anti-codon, and T loops). Further hydrogen bonds mediate the characteristic L-shaped molecular structure. tRNAs have two regions of fundamental functional importance: the anti-codon, which is responsible for specific mRNA codon recognition, and the 3' end, to which the tRNAs corresponding amino acid is attached (by aminoacyl-tRNA synthetases). tRNAs cope with the degeneracy of the genetic code in two manners: having more than one tRNA (with a specific anti-codon) for a particular amino acid; and 'wobble' base-pairing, i.e. permitting non-standard base-pairing at the 3rd anti-codon position. Lineage: Bacteria; Pseudomonadati; Pseudomonadota; Alphaproteobacteria. RNAcentral also lists the same sequence under 1 other name. The record is from RNAcentral.